This 74-nucleotide transfer RNA is filed under the name Alcaligenaceae bacterium. Its description in RNAcentral is "tRNA-Cys". It matches the Rfam family "tRNA". Rfam says of the family: Transfer RNA (tRNA) molecules are approximately 80 nucleotides in length. The record is from RNAcentral. Lineage: Bacteria; Pseudomonadati; Pseudomonadota; Betaproteobacteria; Burkholderiales; Alcaligenaceae.
GGCGCAAUGGCAGAGUGGUUAUGCAGCGGAUUGCAAAUCCGUGCACCCCAGUUCGAUUCUGGGCUGCGCCUCCA